AGAGUUUGAUCAUGGCUCAGAGCGAACGCUGGCGGCAGGCCUAACACAUGCAAGUCGAACGGACCCUUCGGGGUUAGUGGCGGACGGGUGAGUAACACGUGGGAACGUGCCUUUAGGUUCGGAAUAGCUCCUGGAAACGGGUGGUAAUGCCGAAUGUGCCCUUCGGGGGAAAGAUUUAUCGCCUUUAGAGCGGCCCGCGUCUGAUUAGCUAGUUGGUGGGGUAAUGGCCCACCAAGGCUACGAUCAGUAGCUGGUCUGAGAGGAUGACCAGCCACAUUGGGACUGAGACACGGCCCAAACUCCUACGGGAGGCAGCAGUGGGGAAUCUUGCGCAAUGGGCGAAAGCCUGACGCAGCCAUGCCGCGUGUAUGAUGAAGGUCUUAGGAUUGUAAAAUACUUUCACCGGUGAAGAUAAUGACUGUAGCCGGAGAAGAAGCCCCGGCUAACUUCGUGCCAGCAGCCGCGGUAAUACGAAGGGGGCUAGCGUUGCUCGGAAUUACUGGGCGUAAAGGGAGCGUAGGCGGACAUUUAAGUCAGAGGUGAAAUCCCGGAGCUUAACUUCGGAACUGCCUUUGAUACUGGGUGUCUUGAGUGUGAGAGAGGUAUGUGGAACUCCGAGUGUAGAGGUGAAAUUCGUAGAUAUUCGGAAGAACACCAGUGGCGAAGGCGACAUACUGGCUCAUUACUGACGCUGAGGCUCGAAAGCGUGGGGAGCAAACAGGAUUAGAUACCCUGGUAGUCCACGCCGUAAACGAUGAUUGCCAGCCGUUGGAAAGUUUACUUUUCANUGGCGCANCUAACGCUUUAAGCAUUCCGCCUGGGGGGUACGGUCGCAAGA
RNAcentral lists this ribosomal RNA (838 nucleotides) under uncultured bacterium. Its description in RNAcentral is "bacterial SSU rRNA". It matches the Rfam family "Bacterial small subunit ribosomal RNA", at positions 8 to 893 of the family's 1533-position model. The record is from RNAcentral.